RNAcentral lists this ribosomal RNA (239 nucleotides) under uncultured bacterium. Its description in RNAcentral is "partial 16S ribosomal RNA". It matches the Rfam family "Bacterial small subunit ribosomal RNA", at positions 99 to 339 of the family's 1533-position model. The record is from RNAcentral.
CGAACGGGUGAGUAACACGUGAGAAACGUGCCCUUGACUCUGGGAUAACUGCGGGAAACUGUAGCUAAUACCGGAUAUGACCUCUGAAGGCAUCUUCUGGAGGUGGAAAGAAUUUCGGUCAAGGAUCGUCUCGCGGCCUAUCAGCUAGUUGGUGAGGUAAAGGCUCACCAAGGCGACGACGGGUAGCCGGCCUGAGAGGGUGACCGGCCACACUGGGACUGAGACACGGCCCAGACUCC